RNAcentral lists this ribosomal RNA (445 nucleotides) under uncultured bacterium. RNAcentral's name for it is "bacterial SSU rRNA". It matches the Rfam family "Bacterial small subunit ribosomal RNA", at positions 354 to 796 of the family's 1533-position model. The record is from RNAcentral.
GUGAGGAAUAUUGCGCAAUGGAGGCAACUCUGACGCAGCCAUGCCGCGUGCAGGAAGAAGGCGCUACGCGUUGUAAACUGCUUUUAACCGGGAAGAAACCCCAGGACGUGUCCUGGGUUGACGGUACCGGAGGAAUAAGCACCGGCUAACUUCGUGCCAGCAGCCGCGGUAAUACGAAGGGUGCAAGCGUUAUCCGGACUCAUUGGGUUUAAAGGGUGCGUAGGCGGAGCGUUAAGUCAGUGGUGAAAUCCUGCAGCUUAACUGUAGACUUGCCAUUGAUACUGGCGCUCUUGAGUGCGCUUGAAGUGGGCGGAAUGUGCCGUGUAGCGGUGAAAUGCUUAGAUAUGGCACAGAACACCAAUUGCGAAGGCAGCUCACUAAGGCGAUACUGACGCUGAGGCACGAAAGCGUGGGGAUCGAACAGGAUUAGAAACCCCGGUAGUCC